AGAGAGUGCAAGCGUUAAUCGGAAUUACUGGGCGUAAAGCGCGCGUAGGUGGGAUACUUUAGUCGGGAUGUGAAAGCCCUGGGCUUAACCUAGGAACUGCAUCCCGAAACUGGGUGUCUAGAGUAUAGUAGAGGGAAGUGGAAUUUCCGGUGUAGCGGUGAAAUGCGUAGAUAUCGGAAGGAACACCAGUGGCGAAGGCGGCUUCCUGGACUAAUACUGACACUGAGGUGCGAAAGCGUGGGGAGCAAACAGGAUUAGAGACCCUGGUAGUCCACGCUGUCAACGAUGAGAACUAGACGUUGGAGGGGUAACCCUUUAGUGUCGAAGCUAACGCGUUAAGUUCUCCGCCUGGGGAGUACGACCGCAAGGUUA
This 372-nucleotide ribosomal RNA is filed under the name uncultured organism. RNAcentral describes it as "partial 16S ribosomal RNA". It matches the Rfam family "Bacterial small subunit ribosomal RNA", at positions 527 to 896 of the family's 1533-position model. The record is from RNAcentral.